This 536-nucleotide ribosomal RNA is filed under the name uncultured archaeon. RNAcentral describes it as "bacterial SSU rRNA". It matches the Rfam family "Archaeal small subunit ribosomal RNA", at positions 339 to 879 of the family's 1478-position model. The record is from RNAcentral.
GCGCGAAAACUUUGCAAUGCGGGAAACCGUGACAAGGGAACUCUGAGUGCCCGUUAAAUCGGGCUGUCCAUCGGUUUAAAUAACCGGUGGAGAAAGGGCCGGGCAAGACCGGUGCCAGCCGCCGCGGUAAUACCGGCGGCUCGAGUGGUGGCCACUAUUACUGGGCUUAAAGCGUUCGUAGCUGGUUUGUUAAGUCUCUGGGGAAAUCUUCCGGCUUAACCGGAAGGCGUCUCAGGGAUACUGGCAGACUAGGGACCGGGAGAGGUGAGAGGUACUCCAGGGGUAGGAGUGAAAUCCUGUAAUCCUUGGGGGACCACCUGUGGCGAAGGCGUCUCACCAGAACGGCUCCGACAGUGAGGGACGAAAGCUGGGGGAGCAAACCGGAUUAGAUACCCGGGCAGUCCCAGCUGUAAACGAUGCGCGUUAGGUGUAUCGGUGACCACGAGUCACCGAGGUGCCGAAGAGAAAUCGUGAAACGUGCCGCCUGGGAAGUACGGUCGCAAGGCUGAAACUUAAAGGAAUUGGCGGGGGAGCAC